AAUAUCUACUAGGGGUGUUCUAACGAACUGAGAGAAACAAGUUGUUUCGACCCUUUGAACUUGAUCUAGUUGAAACUAGCGUAAGGAAGUAUGACUUGAUGAUU
This 104-nucleotide non-coding RNA is filed under the name Enterococcus sp. Its description in RNAcentral is "TPP sequence". It matches the Rfam family "TPP riboswitch aptamer (THI element)". From Rfam's summary of the family: Vitamin B(1) in its active form thiamin pyrophosphate (TPP) is an essential coenzyme that is synthesised by coupling of pyrimidine and thiazole moieties in bacteria. The previously detected thiamin-regulatory element, thi box was extended, resulting in a new, highly conserved RNA secondary structure, the THI element, which is widely distributed in eubacteria and also occurs in some archaea. The record is from RNAcentral. Lineage: Bacteria; Bacillati; Bacillota; Bacilli; Lactobacillales; Enterococcaceae.